GAUGAAGAACGUAGCGAAAUGCGAUAAUUAAUGUGAAUUGCAGAAUUCAGUGAAUCAUCGAGUCUUUGAACGCACAUUGCGCCCCCUGGUAUUCCGGGGGGCAUGCCUGUCCGAGCGUCAUUGCUGCCCUCAAGCCCGGCUUGUGUGUUGGGCCUUGCUCCCCCGGGGGCAGGCCCGAAAGGCAGUGGCGGCACCGCGUCCGAUCCUCGAGCGUAUGGGGCUUUGUCACCCGCUCUGUAGGCCCGGCCGGCGCUUGACGACCCCAAUCAAUCUUUUUUCAGGUUGACCUCGGAUCAGGUAGGGAUACCCGCUGAACUUAAGCAUAUCAAUAAGCGGAGGA
RNAcentral lists this unclassified non-coding RNA (340 nucleotides) under soil metagenome. Its description in RNAcentral is "partial contains 5.8S ribosomal RNA, internal transcribed spacer 2, and large subunit ribosomal RNA". The stretch from base 1 to 120 matches the Rfam family "5.8S ribosomal RNA", at positions 35 to 154 of the family's 154-position model. The record is from RNAcentral.